The sequence is a ribosomal RNA, 377 nucleotides long. It matches the Rfam family "Eukaryotic small subunit ribosomal RNA", at positions 582 to 975 of the family's 1831-position model.
AUUCCAGCUCCAAUAGCGUAUAUUAAAGUUGUUGCAGUUAAAAAGCUCGUAGUUGAACUUCUGGCGGAUGUUUUCGCUGGCUUCGGUCGCGUUAAUGUCUGUCAUCCGCUAGGGAACCUCGUUCGGUCUUCAUUGGUCGGCGGGAGGAUCUGGCAUUUUACUUUGAAAAAAUUAGAGUGUUCAAGGCAGGCAAUCGCCAUGAAUACACAAGCAUGGAAUAAUGGAAUAGGACUUAUGGUCAUUUUAUUGGUUAUUGACUGUAAGUAAUGAUUAAUAGGGACAGUUGGGGGCAUUAGUAUUUAAUUGUCAGAGGUGAAAUUCUUGGAUUUAUUAAAGACUAACUUAUGCGAAAGCAUUUGCCAAGGAUGUUUUCAUCG